Molecule: non-coding RNA, 2284 nt
Organism: Misgurnus anguillicaudatus (oriental weatherfish)
Lineage: Eukaryota; Metazoa; Chordata; Actinopteri; Cypriniformes; Cobitidae
Source: RefSeq, a predicted model, not a curated record
GGCAGAGUGACAAUACAGUUCAAGUGCCUUCCUUACUCAUUCAUGAUCAGUGGCGGAAUGAUAUGUAAAAAAUAUGAAUGGUAAAGCGGUUACUGUUACAAUACUAGUAGAAUAUAUCAUGACUAUCAGCCAAUCAGAUUCGAGAACAAGAAAUAACUGUUGUAUAAUUAGUUUUAUACUAACUAUAUAAAUUAUAUUUAAUGCAUUUUCUCUCUGAUUUUGCACAUUUGCAAUAUUUCCAUAUAUUGGGCAGCCCUACUUCCAACCUCACCAUUUUAUAUGAAAGUAAAGUUGAUUAAUUUCUGAUUUUUUUUACUUCACUUGUUCCAUUUUAGGCAACGUGCCACAGAGAUUCUAAUGGAGCUCACCAAAAAAAUUUAUUAUGAGAAUUAUCAGUCAUCUAAUAUGAUAAAUGCCUGCAGAAUUUAUAUUUACGGCUCUGCAUGGCGUGCAUUCUCUAGAAGAUUGUUCGCUCCUUUUAAACCCUUGGGAGUCGUGUUUAUGGAUUUUUCCGAUAACCCAGAAGGGGCAGUGGAUGAUGGAGGCCCAACAAGGGAAUUUUGCAGUUUCCUUAUGAAGGAUAUACAGAGCGGGAGCCUGUUUGAAGGGCCCGAUAAUUCAAAGUUACUGGCCCUAGAUAGCCAUGCUAUCUCAAAUGGGGAGUACAGAAUGAUCGGACAAAUGAUCAGUGUCUGCCUUUUACAUGGUGGUGUAGCACCCCACUUCUUUGCCCCACGACUGUUCAAUCUGGUUGUGGGUGAAGCUACAGAGACUGUUGACCUCAAAGAAAUUGUCGAUGAAGGGUUCAGGAGCCAGCUGCAGAAGGCACAUGUUUUUGUUAAUGCUGAUUGGAUAAUGCAGUCUUUCUGCCAAAGUACAAGUUGAUAUGUUACUAAAACAUAAUACAUUUUUAGAUACAAGAUGCCAUAAACAUUGAGGAGACCAGGGAGGCUUAGAACAGGCUUCAAACAGCCUGUCUCUCCUUGGAUCCUUAAAUAUCCAGUGUCGGACUCUUGAGGACAGGGAGACCGUCAUCCAGUGUGCAGCCAAGUUUUACCUGGAGGGGCGCCUUAAUGCUGCACUAGAACAGUUUGUGGAUGGUCUGGGAUGCUUGGGUUUGCAUACUGCAAUGAAGGACAUUUUAACCAUCUUCGAUAUCUGUUCCUGGCUAAAGACAAGACGCUGACUGCCAAGGACCUUAUUGAUGUUUUUACCACACAAUUCUCAGAGGAGGGAAGCAACCGCAGGCAAAAUGAAAUUAAAAACUACGCCUGGUUCCGUGACUUCUUGUUGGAUGUGGAAGAUAUGAGGUCAAUAGUAAGCAAAACUAUUUAGCAAAUACCUCAUUUAUGAUAUUUUUAUUUAAGAUAUUUACAUUAUGUGCCACAGGUGGAGAAAUGCAUGUGGAAGAGAGUAAAAACCUUACUCUGCAGGAGGUCUUCGCCUUUGCUUGUGGGCUGGAGGAGUUGCCCCCCCCCCUGGGAUUCAAAAACAAACCAAUCAUUGAGUUUCUGCACACAGACCGCAAAUUCCCUGAGGCAAACACGUGUGCCGUAGUUCUCCGUCUACCUAUUCAUAGGAGCUAUGACGAGUUCUGCAACCACAUGUGCAGUGGGAUAUUGCAAGCUCCAAUGUUUGGGAUGGCAUAAGUUAGGUGAUCCUUAGCACAGUUAAGUUAGUUAUACAAAGCCCUCCACUAUUGUUCCAUAUGUUUUUUCCUAUCAGUUAUUUUUCAAUUCUACCUACGCUGCAAGUCUGCUCAUCACAGAGUGAGCAAUGUUGUUCCUGUAGUUGUUCUCUGUCUAUAACAACACAUGUUGUGGCAUGUUUGAAUAGUUGCACGUUAAAGGGACCGUUCACACAAAAUGUACCCUCUCUCAUGUUGUUACAAUCCUAUAUAAAUUUCUUAGUUCUGAUUAACACAAAUGAAGAUAUAUGAGGAAUGUUUGUAAACGAACCAUGCAUGAACUCCAUUAACUUACAUACUACUCUUUUUGUUACUAUAGAAGUGAAUGGGGGUCAGGAACAGUUUGUUUACAAACAUUGUAACAACAUAAGGGUACAUAAUGACAGAAUUUUAAUUUGAUUGGUGAACUGUCUUUAAAACGGGUCACCAAUCCUGGUCCUGGAGGGCCGUUGUCUCUGCAGAGUUUAGCUCCAUCUGCAGAGACACCGGCCAUCCAGGACCAGGAUUGGUACCCCUUCUUUAAAAUGACAAAGUUCUGUUGUAAAACAAACAUCCUUCAUGUACGAUGCUACAUGGCUCCAACUCAAAUAAAUUCGU